Long non-coding RNA from Cyprinus carpio carpio, 1261 nucleotides. NCBI's taxonomy places the organism in Eukaryota, Metazoa, Chordata, Actinopteri, Cypriniformes, Cyprinidae. The record is from Ensembl.
CAUUUAUCUGUGGAUGGCGUCUCAACAUCAAAGUCUCCUCAGCACGCUGUGCUCCUCUGAGCAUUGAACAUUUCAAAUGUAGGUCUACAAACUCCAGAAAAAAUGUGUUGUGAAGGCCUUCUGCUUACUAGAGGUGAAAAUACGUGCUGAUGGCAACUAUAGGAGUGAAUCAUUAAUGGAUGAGAACUGCUGAAUAGAAGCACACCUGUGGCAUCAGCAUGUGGCAGGCGUUUCUCUGAAUGUCAGGAUGAGAGAGGCCUGGAGAUCUCGACCCAGACAUGCCCUGUCAAAAAGGGUGAAAGCCUGCACCCGUCUGUACGAAUACAAGUCCAAUAUUCAUCCAGACAGCGUGCCCUUUCUCAAAAGUCUGCAUGUACAUUCUGCUUCUCAAAAAACCUAAUUUGAGUCCUCAAGGAGCGACGGCAUCAGGAGAGAAGACACAGCGUGUGCUCACAUCUGUAGCAGCAGAUUUCGUUUCUUGCCACAGGUGACUGCAACGACUGCCUGAGCUGGAUUGUCAAACUUGGUGCUUAAAUUAGCAGAUAGGAAGAUGAGGUGUUUGAUGCUGUCAUACAAUCUAUAGUGAUUCUGUAUACAUGUAGUAGGGUUCUAUAAAAUCUGUAGUGUUUUUUUUUUUUUUUUUUAUCAUAUUAGGACAUUAAUAAAGCAUGACAGUGACAGGUUAUUUCAAAGAUAAUAGGACCCCAGGACAAAAACUCUCCCGCUUUUCUGCUGAAAGGUCACGGCACAGCAUCGUAGAGACAUUAUGAAAAGGAUGUCUACACUUUAUUGGCUGGCUGAGCUUCAUGAGUCAUUCGGUUUGUGACACAUUGUUUCAUUCCUUGGAGGACUGUGAGCUUUUGUUGGCAGCUGGUAUUUUAUUUCAGAGAUUUCAUUUGAAGUGUAAUGGAACCUCAUCGAUUUCAGGGUUAUUUUCUCAUGACGUAGUUCACUGAAGCUGUUUAUUAGAGUACAUGUAUUCUUCACGGUUAUGUGUCUGCUAAUAUACUCCAUUCUGAGCUUUCUCAUACUGUCAUUCCUGUCUCUUUUGAUAUUGCUCAGUAUUUUGUCCUGUCUUUAAAGCAACUGUAUGUAGUUUUGUGUAUUUUUGCCACUUUGGAGCCCUCUACAGUUAAGUAUAGUAAAAAUAUCAUUGUUGGAAUUACAGUGGAUAGCUGUGCAUGUACAUUUGAUGCUGCUGUAAAACAAUCUGCCAUUUUUGAAGAAUUUCACCAACCUUCACAAUUUUAUUUCUCAUUUU